Molecule: ribosomal RNA, 422 nt
Filed under: uncultured bacterium
Lineage: Bacteria
Description: partial 16S ribosomal RNA
Rfam family: Bacterial small subunit ribosomal RNA
Source: RNAcentral
AAUUUUUGACUAAGGGGGCAACCCUUAUCCAGCCAUCCCGCGGGUAUGAGGAGGACCUCCGGGUUGUAAAGUACUUUUGUCAGAGAAGAAAAGGUAGUUACUGUUACUAGAUACUUCGGAUGCACUGUUCACAUUAACAACCGCCUAACUAUCUGUCAGCUGCCGCGGUAAUACGUAGGGUGCAAGGGGUAAGCGGCAUUAAUGGGCGUAAAGCGAGUGUAGGCGGGUCGGAAAGAAAGAUGUGAAAUACAAGGGAUCAACCUUGGAACUGAAUUGUUAACUGCCGAGCAAGAGUAGGGCAGAAGGGGGUAGAAUUCAACGUGUAGCAGUGAAAUGCGUAGAUAUGUGGAGGAAUACAGAUGGCGAAGGCAGCCCCCUGGGAUAAUACUGACGCUCAGACAAGAAAGCGUGGGGAGCAAAGA